CCUACGGGAGGCAGCAGUGAGGGAUAUUGGUCAAUGGGGGAAACCCUGAACCAGCAACGCCGCGUGAGGGAAGACGGUUUUCGGAUUGUAAACCUCUGUCCUCUGUGAAGAUAAUGACGGUACCUGCAAAGGAAGCACCGGCUAACUCCGUGCCAGCAGCCGCGGUAAUACGGAGGGUGCGAGCGUUAAUCGGAAUUACUGGGCGUAAAGCGCUCGUAGGCGGUAUGUCAAGUCAAGGGUGAAAUCCCCGCGCUCAACGUGGGAACUGCCUUUGAAACUGGCAAACUGGAGUGUGUGAGAGGAUAGUGGAAUUCCAGGUGUAGGAGUGAAAUCCGUAGAUAUCUGGAGGAACAUCAGUGGCGAAGGCGACUAUCUGGCACAUAACUGACGCUGAGGAGCGAAAGCGUGGGUAGCAAACAGGAUUAGAUACCCGUGUAGUC
Molecule: ribosomal RNA, 440 nt
Filed under: uncultured bacterium
Lineage: Bacteria
Description: partial 16S ribosomal RNA
Rfam family: Bacterial small subunit ribosomal RNA
Source: RNAcentral